This 376-nucleotide ribosomal RNA is filed under the name uncultured bacterium. RNAcentral describes it as "bacterial SSU rRNA". It matches the Rfam family "Bacterial small subunit ribosomal RNA", at positions 29 to 432 of the family's 1533-position model. The record is from RNAcentral.
AACGAACGCUGGCGGCAUGCCUAACACAUGCAAGUCGAACGAAGUCUUCGGACUUAGUGGCGCACGGGUGCGUAACGCGUGGGAAUCUGCCCUUGGGUGCGGAAUAACUUCUCGAAAGGGAUGCUAAUACCGCAUAAUGUCGUAAGACCAAAGAUUUAUCGCCCAAGGAUGAGCCCGCGUAAGAUUAGCUAGUUGGUGGGGUAAAAGCCUACCAAGGCGACGAUCUUUAGCUGGUCUGAGAGGAUGAUCAGCCACACUGGGACUGAGACACGGCCCAGACUCCUACGGGAGGCAGCAGUGGGGAAUAUUGGACAAUGGGCGAAAGCCUGAUCCAGCAAUGCCGCGUGAGUGAUGAAGGCCCUAGGGUUGUAAAGCU